This 253-nucleotide ribosomal RNA is filed under the name uncultured bacterium. RNAcentral describes it as "partial 16S ribosomal RNA". It matches the Rfam family "Bacterial small subunit ribosomal RNA", at positions 524 to 776 of the family's 1533-position model. The record is from RNAcentral.
GACGAACCGUGCGAACGUUGUUCGGAAUCACUGGGCUUAAAGGGCGCGUAGGCGGCUCACCUUGUCUGGGGUGAAAUCUUCCGGCUCAACCGGAAGUUGUCCUCGGAAACGGGUGGGCUGGAGGCAGGUAGGGGCGGGCGGAACUUCCGGUGGAGCGGUGAAAUGCGUAGAGAUCGGAAGGAACGCCGGUGGCGAAAGCGGCCCGCUGGACCUGCCCUGACGCUGAGGCGCGAAAGCCAGGGGAGCAAACGGG